RNAcentral lists this transfer RNA (70 nucleotides) under Asio flammeus (short-eared owl). RNAcentral describes it as "tRNA-Lys". Lineage: Eukaryota; Metazoa; Chordata; Aves; Strigiformes; Strigidae. The record is from RNAcentral.
CAUUAAGAAGCUAUGCAACAGCACUAGCCUUUUAAGCUAGCGAAAGAGGACCACCUCCCCUCCUUAAUGA